Molecule: long non-coding RNA, 3428 nt
Organism: Scophthalmus maximus (turbot)
Lineage: Eukaryota; Metazoa; Chordata; Actinopteri; Pleuronectiformes; Scophthalmidae
Source: Ensembl
AUGUCAUAUCCUCUGUGGCGAAAAACUUUUCACCACCAUAACCUAAACUGUGUUUCCUUUACAAAGGCCCAAUGUGCUUCUCUUGACUUCUCUCUGUCGUUUAAAAGUGUCAACAAUGCUUGGAACAUUGCAGGCCCUCGAGUCUGGGUCGGCAGGCUACACGGUGACAGCUGGAGAGAUAUUGCUUUUCCUCCCAGUUUAUUGAGCGGCCAGGGGAGGGGCGACUGUGUCUCCGUACGUGACGGGCUAAAAAGGAAGGAAGGAGGUGUGUGUGUGUGUGUGUGUGUGUGUGUGUGUGUGUGUGUGUGUGUGUGUGUGUGUGUGUGUGUGUGUGUGUGUGUGUGUGUGUGUGUGUGUGUGUGUGUGUGUGUGUGUGUGUGUGUGUGUGUGUGUGUGUGUGUGUGUGUGUGUGUGUGUGUGUGUGUGUGGCUGGUAGGUGUCAUGGGUGGCUGGAGGACAUGUAUCAUCAAUUUGCUUGUUGGAGCUUCCUGUACAUGAGGUGGCAUUAAAAUGAUCCAUGGCCUCUUUCCUGGGCUAAUACUAAUGAUAUUGAGAUGUCAGCCUUUUUUUUUUUGUUCCAUGGAUUUAAAGGACACACACACACACACACACACACACACACACACACACACACACACCCCUGCAGAGCCUAAACAGACAAGACAGGAGGAGAGAAUUCUUCCACGGGGGCUGAGGUGAUAAUCUAAUAGGGACAUUUGUUUUUGUUUCCUGCUCGUGCCUCACUCCUCACUUCCUCCCUCCUCUCCGAGCGCACUGAAACAAAAGCCGCCGUCGAGGGGCCCCCGCUGCUGCUGCCGCCGCCGCCGCCUCUGUGGCGUAUAAAUAACAGUCGCACGGCAGCAAAAACAAGUGUAACACACACCAUCUGGCCCUCCACCAGUGUCUGCCUCCGUCACACAGGCAGGAGCGGUGUAAAGAAGGGGGAGAUCAGAUGAACAGAAUCACACACCUCAGGAGCGAUGUCGCGCGGAAGCCAAAAUCUUAUAGUUGCAGUCACUUAGAAAAAUAACUAUUUCAUAAUGAAUAGCAAUUUCUUAUUUUAAAGGCAGCAAAAUGUGCCUCACUUGGCUGAAUUGAAUGUGGGGCAGAAGGUUUAUCUGAAGGUGCAGCAGGCAUUAUCUGCUAUAUGUACAAUCACUUCUGGCUACAAAUCAAAUGCGUCAUAUAAUAAAUCUGUCAACAAGCAGGAUGAUGGGCCGGAGGCAAAGCUGUCCACAUGCAGUCGAAUUUUUGCCCAUCGAGCUCUAUAGAAAACUCUUGUUGUGUCGAUUUUCUUGCAGAAAAUACCAAUCGGUAACACGUGACCCGCUGUUUGUCUCGUAUCUGUCCUGUCAUCUCUGUUUGUGCUCCGUCACGUUAAGACGGCAUUUCCCGCCCCCGUGAUUGUUCUCUAAUUCUUUUCUCUGAUAUCGGCCAGAUGGUUUUUUUUAUCACUUCCAUGAACCCUGAUUGAUUCUUUGGGCAAAGCAUGUUCCAUUACCGAGAAUUACUCACCCGUCGAUGGGCACGGGAGAGCAGGAUAUUAAUCAGUGUAACCUUUGUCACUAACAACCUUGUUAUUCGUUCAAAGCCAAACAAACUGUGAAUUUGGCUUUGUUUGAGGCUCAUUAUUAAGAGCGGCGGAGAGCAGGCAUUUUACAUUGCUAUUGAUCAUGUGUGAAGACAGGCCUACACAGUCGAUACCCACAGCCAAUGAAAAAUGGUGUGAUCUUUUUUUCUUUUCUUUUCCUUUUUUAAUGACUGCAUCCUGCAGAGAAAAACAGAGAGCUGCAGCUCCGUGAACAGCCUUUUAUCAGAUGUGCACAAUACUGGGAACGUUUGGUCAGAGGUGGAGAGAAAGCAACAGGAAAAUUGCUGUAUUCUAACGCACAGUUUGAGGUGCACUUUACAGAUUUGGGAAACUUUUUCUCCUUAUAGUCUCAUCUGACACUUAGCUGUAUCUGAUGCUUCAACGUGCUGAUGGGAUGAGCCGGGGAUGUGACCAUCGAGCCUGUGAUCAGUGGACAACUUGCUCCACUGCCUGGGCUUCAGCCACCCCCGCUGCUCACCAUAUACUAUGAAAAAUAUGACGCAUUACAUUUAAGGGUCGUUGUCUUCACUGGAUUGUUUUUAACUUUAACUUUUUUUCUUCUUCAGUUUUCACAAUUUGAUGUUGAGAAUAUUUCACCAUGAAAACUGUUGCUUGUGGAGCAGACACAGAGAAAAGAAACAGUCAACAGAUAUGUGUGCAGACAGAUUCUGAGGAUCCGGCCCCCUCCUGUCAGUCUCUGCGCAACACUCCUGACAGCUCCAUUUCAGAAAUAAAAAACAGAUCUUCCAAGACGAUUGCAGACCUAUCGACGGACAGUCAUCCAGUCUUGUAACCAAAUCGGGUGCAGUGCUACAUUCCACCUUGUUGCGCCCUCUGUAUGUGCUUUCCCUCCAUCCAUCGUCUACCGCUUCAUCCAUUUAAGGGUCACGGGGGGGCUGGAGCCAAUCCCAGCUAACAUUGGGCGAGAGGCGGGGUACACCCUGGACAGGUCGCCAGCCUAUCGCAGGACGGACAACCAUUCACUCUCACAUUCACUUUAGGUCAAUUUAGAGUCUCCGAUGAACCUAACCCCAUUCUGCAUGAUUUUGGACUGUGGGAGGAAGCCGGAGAACCCGGAGAGAACCCACGCAUACACGAGGAGAACAUGCAAACUCCACACAGAAAGGCCCUGGUUGGUUUGAACCGGGAUUCGAACCCAGAACCUUCUUGCUGUGAGGAGAAAGUGCUAACCACUACACCACCGUGCAGCCCUGCAUGUGCUUUGUGUUGCAAAACCAUUGUUUUUCAAGUAAAGUCCACCAGUAGGAAUACCAGGAGGCUUUUCCUGUUGAAAAAAAUUGCAGAUGUCACAGUGUCCAGUGGUAACUGGUGUGUCUUCAGCAUCAUGUGAGAGUUCCUCCAUGCAGUCAUAAGUCUUAUUGUGCAUUCAUUCCGUGUAUGAAUAAUCAGAAAAAUUGGUUCCUGACUUGAAAAUUCACGUGACUAAAGCCGGAACAAGAACAGCCAAAAUCUCGAGUUGCCUAGUUGCUGACGUCAUACACACAGGACCAUGGCAGAAGAAAGGGAGCGGUUGGUUGAUGGUAAGACAUUUUUUGAUUUUUUUUGCUAACAUUAAAACAAGUGCCUAACACCAUACUUUUUAGGCAAACAUUUUUAUGAUUAUUAUUAUUUAUUUUUUACAGUGUCAGGUUUUCCAAAUUCCGAAAUUCACAACUCGGGACAGAUGGGACCUUCCAAGGAGCACGUGAAUGCACAAUGAACUCCCAUCAUCACCAGCAUGUUAUGGUAAGGAACGAAAAAUUUGGUGAGUUUGGCCCAUGAUAAAUUUAGAGAAAGAUAUAGAGACUUGUGGGUGAAUGGGUGGUAACGAUUAACU